RNA transcript from Tarenaya hassleriana, 708 nucleotides. It is a transcript of the gene named mitochondrial import receptor subunit TOM7-1-like, with no coding region annotated. The transcript has 3 exons. Lineage: Eukaryota; Viridiplantae; Streptophyta; Magnoliopsida; Brassicales; Cleomaceae. The record is from RefSeq and is a predicted model, not a curated record.
AUGCGUAAAGAACUUCAGAAAUCUCGAGGGGGAGAGAGAGCCACGGACGAGACGAAGAAACGCGAUUGGUAGGAAGGAUAAGAGAGGGCAUUUCAAUGGCGUCUAGGGUUUCGUUGAAGGUGAAAGGGAAGGGGACGAGAGGAUCCAUGGAGGAAGACGACAACAACGCGGUUUUGCAAAGAGCCAAGGAGUGGACCAAUUGGACGCUGAAGAAGGUCAAAGUCGUCGCUCACUUUGGCUUCAUCCCUCUCAUCAUCGUCGUCGGCAUGAACGCCGAUCCCAAACCCUCCCUCUUCCAGCUCCUCAGCCCCGUCUGAUCCCCCAUCUCCGUCGGAUUCAGGAUCCAUCGUCUUCUUCAAGAAAUCAGAUUUCGAAGAUUCUCGCAAUUUUAAAUCGAAAGAGAUCUAUCAGUAGCAAAUUCAGAAGAGUCGGUCAUUCCAUCCGAUUCGAGCUCCGGUGGGUGUGGAACUCUCGGUUGCUCUGUCGGGUUCGAGACCAACUCCUCGUCUGACGUUCUCGACGAGUCUGAUCGGAUCUGCAAAAUCUCCACCAUCUUUACGAGGUCGAAGGAAUAACAGAGAGUUCCAGUUUCCCGGUCCAUUCUUCCCCAGGUUUCAAGGUGAUGGGUUUCUCAAUGGCUGCACCAUCAACACACAGCAUGCGCUUGUACUCUUCAUCUCCCAAAUCCCCCAACGUUUUCGACUUCUU